This 459-nucleotide ribosomal RNA is filed under the name uncultured bacterium. RNAcentral's name for it is "partial 16S ribosomal RNA". It matches the Rfam family "Bacterial small subunit ribosomal RNA", at positions 338 to 795 of the family's 1533-position model. The record is from RNAcentral.
CCUACGGGUGGCAGCAGUGAGGAAUAUUGGUCAAUGGCCGGAAGGCUGAACCAGCCAAGCCGCGUGAGGGAGGAAGGCGCAGAGCGUCGCAGACCUCUUUUGCCGGGGGACAAAUGGCCGGACUCGUCUGGUCCUGAGGGUACCCGGAGAAAAAGCAUCGGCUACCUCCGUGCCAGCAGCCGCGGUAAUACGGAGGAUGCGAGCGUUAUCCGGGUUCAUUGGGUUAAAGGGGUUGGAGGGCGGGCCUUUACGCCGGCGGGGAAAUCGCGGGGGUAAACCCCGCCGAGCCGGCGGAACUGGGGGCCUUGAGUGCGGCGGAGGCAUGCGGAAUGCGCGGUGUAGCGGGGAAAUGCAUAGAUAGCGCGCAGAACCCCGAUUGCGAAGGCAGCGUGCCGUGCCGCCACUGACGCUGAGGCACGAAAGCGCGGGGAGCGAACAGGAUUAGAUACCCCUGUAGUC